UGAGGAAGGAUGUGAUGCUGCAUAUGUCAGUCAAUGGUCAUGUGGCAACGCCGCCAUGCUGCUGUACCAGAAGUUAAGUUUGACAGCCCUAGUUUAAAUUGAAUACUGAGUGUCUGUGCAGCACAACAUGGUUAUCAUCUAACAAGUUAACUUCUCGGCUUCAACAGGCUCAGUCAGCUUUCAGUGUGCACAUUUCAGAAUUUGCAUAUUUCAUUAGCCCGUGUUUGAUGUUAAACAAUGUGCAUCAUGCAAUAGCAAAGCUCAGUACACAGCUGUUGCAGCGUCUAUGUGUUUGUAUGAAUGUCUGUUUAUUUAUUUAUUUUACAUAAUAGAUUUUUUUUUGUGACUUGCUAUUUCUCAAAAACCUUUUUGCGAGAUUUGCCUUGACGAAGUACGAAUUACAAUUAUUUUCACAGAGCCAUUAUGUCCACAAGGAGGAGGAGGAAAAAGCCUAUAGACGAUGCAAAGACAUACAUUCUGUCUUGCACUGACAAGGAUGGGUUUAUGCCGAGAUUCAUUGACCGUUACAAAGGAAGAGGAGUGUUUGCAACACACCCCAUUAAACCCGGGGACUUCGUGUUGGAGUACAGGGGUAAACUCCUCACACAGGAGGAAUGCAAGUCAAGAAAAUACUCAGAGAUUGAAAGCACAUUUCUCUUUGACUUUCAGUGGCAGAAUCAUCACUUAUGCCUGGAUGCAUCUGAAGAAGAUGGAUCUCUCGGAAGAUUGUUCAAUGACAACCACAAAAAUCCAAAUUGCAUUAUGAAAAAAAAAUCAUAGUUGACAACAAACCACAUUUGUGCCUUUUUUCUCUGAAGAAAAUAGAAAUAGGAGAUUAAAUUGAUUACAACUAUGGUGAUUCAAAAUGGCCUUGGCGCAGUAAGUUGAAAAAAACCCAAGCUCCAGCCGCAGCAGAAGAGAAUGAGACCAGCCCUGUUCCUCAGACGCUUAAUGAUGGACCAAACCCAGAUCAGACCUGCACACAGGUAAAAGUAC
This is a long non-coding RNA of Carassius carassius (crucian carp), 996 nucleotides long. RefSeq lists it as uncharacterized. The transcript is spliced from 4 exons. The record is from RefSeq and is a predicted model, not a curated record. Lineage: Eukaryota; Metazoa; Chordata; Actinopteri; Cypriniformes; Cyprinidae.